GAUGAACGCUGGCGGCGUGCCUAAUACAUGCAAGUCGAGCGAACGGACGAGAAGCUUGCUUUUCUGAUGUUAGCGGCGGACGGGUGAGUAACACGUGGAUAACCUACCUAUAAGACUGGGAUAACUUCGGGAAACCGGAGCUAAUACCGGAUAAUAUUUUGAACCGCAUGGUUCAAAAGUGAAAGACGGUCUUGCUGUCACUUAUAGAUGGAUCCGCGCUGCAUUAGCUAGUUGGUAAGGUAACGGCUUACCAAGGCAACGAUGCAUAGCCGACCUGAGAGGGUGAUCGGCCACACUGGAACUGAGACACGGUCCAGACUCCUACGGGAGGCAGCAGUAGGGAAUCUUCCGCAAUGGGCGAAAGCCUGACGGAGCAACGCCGCGUGAGUGAUGAAGGUCUUCGGAUCGUAACUCUGUUAUUAGGGAAGAACAUAUGUGUAAGUAACUGUGCACAUCUUGACGGUACCUAAUCAGAAAGCCACGGCUAACUACGUG
Molecule: ribosomal RNA, 495 nt
Filed under: uncultured bacterium
Lineage: Bacteria
Description: partial 16S ribosomal RNA
Rfam family: Bacterial small subunit ribosomal RNA
Source: RNAcentral